RNAcentral lists this ribosomal RNA (253 nucleotides) under uncultured bacterium. RNAcentral describes it as "partial 16S ribosomal RNA". It matches the Rfam family "Bacterial small subunit ribosomal RNA", at positions 524 to 776 of the family's 1533-position model. The record is from RNAcentral.
UACGAAGGGGGCUAGCGUUGUUCGGAAUCACUGGGCGUAAAGCGCACGUAGGCGGAUUCUUAAGUCAGGGGUGAAAUCCCGAGGCUCAACCUCGGAACCGCCUUUGAUACUGGGGAUCUCGAGUCCGGGAGAGGUGAGUGGAAUUGCGAGUGUAGAGGUGAAAUUCGUAGAUAUUCGCAAGAACACCAGUGGCGAAGGCGGCUCACUGGCCCGGUACUGACGCUGAGGCACGAAAGCGUGGGGAGCAAACAGG